This is a non-coding RNA of Tinamus guttatus (white-throated tinamou), 323 nucleotides long. The record is from RefSeq and is a predicted model, not a curated record. Lineage: Eukaryota; Metazoa; Chordata; Aves; Tinamiformes; Tinamidae.
AAUACAUUUCAGGCUCAGAAGACGAAGCAGAAAAACACGAAGAUAUGGAGUUUUGGAUACAAACAUAGAGAACAUGGAGCUGACUCCAUUGGAACAAGAUGAUGAAGAGGAUGAUACAACACUGUUUGAUGCAAAUCAUCCUCGAAGAUAAGUACGUGCCUUUCAGUGAAAGAACUUAAUCAUGAAACCAGAGAAAAAGACUGCUUCAUAGGAGGAGUAAGAACCAAAUAGCAAGAGAGUAUGGAAUUUGAGGAAAUAAUUUAAGUUGUAUAUAUUAUGUCAUCCUUGAUUUGUUGCAAUAAAUACUGUACCAAUUUGUUGUA